This 460-nucleotide ribosomal RNA is filed under the name uncultured Acidimicrobiales bacterium. RNAcentral describes it as "bacterial SSU rRNA". It matches the Rfam family "Bacterial small subunit ribosomal RNA", at positions 28 to 505 of the family's 1533-position model. The record is from RNAcentral. Lineage: Bacteria; Bacillati; Actinomycetota; Acidimicrobiia; Acidimicrobiales.
GAUGAACGCUGGCGGCGUGCUUAACACAUGCAAGUCGAACGCCCUCGACCUUCGGGUCACAUGAGGGAGUGGCGAACGGGUGAGUAACACGUGAGAAACCUGCCCUGAAGUUUGGGACAACCACUGGAAACGGUGGCUAAUACCGAAUGUCUUCCUUCCACCGCAUGGUGGGUUGAAGAAAGCUCCGGCGCUUCAGGAGGGUCUCGCGGCCUAUCAGCUAGUUGGUGAGGUAACGGCUCACCAAGGCAUCGACGGGUAGCUGGUCUGAGAGGACGAUCAGCCACACUGGGACUGAGACACGGCCCAGACUCCUACGGGAGGCAGCAGUGGGGAAUCUUGCGCAAUGGGCGAAAGCCUGACGCAGCGAUGCCGCGUGGGGGAUGAAGGCUCUCGGGUCGUAAACCCCUUUCAGCAGGGACGAAAAUGACGGUACCUGCAGAAGAAGCCCCGGCCAACUACG